Molecule: transfer RNA, 75 nt
Filed under: Scleropages formosus (Asian bonytongue)
Lineage: Eukaryota; Metazoa; Chordata; Actinopteri; Osteoglossiformes; Osteoglossidae
Description: tRNA-Gln
Source: RNAcentral
CAGCUGGUAAUGCAGUGGUCGGCACUGCUGCCUUUGGAACAGAAAGUCACAGGUUUGAAUCCCUCCUCUAGCUGA